Molecule: ribosomal RNA, 715 nt
Filed under: uncultured bacterium
Lineage: Bacteria
Description: bacterial SSU rRNA
Rfam family: Bacterial small subunit ribosomal RNA
Source: RNAcentral
AGAGUUUGAUCCUGGCUCAGAUUGAACGCUGGCGGCAUGCCUUACACAUGCAAGUCGAACGGCAGCACGGGAGCAAUCCUGGUGGCGAGUGGCGAACGGGUGAGUAAUAUAUCGGAACGUGCCCAGUCGUGGGGGAUAACGCAGCGAAAGCUGUGCUAAUACCGCAUACGAUCUCUGGAUGAAAGCGGGGGACCUUCGGGCCUCGCGCGAUUGGAGCGGCCGAUAUCAGAUUAGCUAGUUGGCGGGGUAAAGGCCCACCAAGGCGACGAUCUGUAGCUGGUCUGAGAGGACGACCAGCCACACUGGAACUGAGACACGGUCCAGACUCCUACGGGAGGCAGCAGUGGGGAAUUUUGGACAAUGGGCGCAAGCCUGAUCCAGCAAUGCCGCGUGCAGGAUGAAGGCCUUCGGGUUGUAAACUGCUUUUGUACGGAACGAAAAGGUUGCUUUUAAUAAAGGCGGCUCAUGACGGUACCGUAAGAAUAAGCACCGGCUAACUACGUGCCAGCAGCCGCGGUAAUACGUAGGGUGCGAGCGUUAAUCGGAAUUACUGGGCGUAAAGCGUGCGCAGGCGGUGAUGUAAGACAGAUGUGAAAUCCCCGGGCUCAACCUGGGACCUGCAUUUGUGACUGCAUCGCUAGAGUACGGUAGAGGGGGAUGGAAUUCCGCGUGUAGCAGUGAAAUGCGUAGAUAUGCGGAGGAACACCGAUGGCGA